This is a long non-coding RNA of Lacerta agilis (Sand lizard), 334 nucleotides long. RefSeq lists it as uncharacterized. The transcript has 3 exons. NCBI's taxonomy places the organism in Eukaryota, Metazoa, Chordata, Lepidosauria, Squamata, Lacertidae. The record is from RefSeq and is a predicted model, not a curated record.
UUUCAGAACUCCUGACCUAUGUCAAAGUGCACAAUAGGUUUAGAAACAUUUUGCCAAGUCUGCUUUAUUUCUUUCUUUUUACAGGACAGCUUGGAUACCUUGGGCCGACCCUUUUUUCUCUUCAGGCCAAGGAAUGGAAGGACUGUGGAUAAUAGAGGUGAAUAGAGGCCAGUCAAAAGACUUCAAGGAAAGAGAAAACCCAAGGGUCACUUGACUUCCUCGCUCUAUCACUUUAAACUCUGAAAAGAAACGUUUGGACUAGUAGUACUCUGUUAAAGAGACAUGCUCUUGAAGCCUGUGAAGUUACAUGUAAUAAAUUUGCAGCCAUAAAUUA